UACGAAGGGUGCAAACGUUGCUCGGAAUUAUUGGGCGUAAAGCGCACGUAGGCGGCAUUGCAAGUCGGAUGUGAAAUCCCUCGGCUCAACCAAGGAAGUGCAUCCGAAACUGCUGUGCUUGAGUACUAAAGAGGAUCGCGGAAUUCCCGGUGUAGAGGUGAAAUUCGUAGAUAUCGGGAGGAACACCAGUGGCGAAGGCGACGAUCUGGGUAGAUACUGACGCUGAGGUGCGAAGGCGUGAGGAGCAAACACG
RNAcentral lists this ribosomal RNA (253 nucleotides) under uncultured bacterium. RNAcentral describes it as "partial 16S ribosomal RNA". It matches the Rfam family "Bacterial small subunit ribosomal RNA", at positions 524 to 776 of the family's 1533-position model. The record is from RNAcentral.